UCUGAGCAGACAUUUCUCCAAAGAAGCUGUGCAAAUGGCCAAUAAGCACAUGGAAAGAUGUCUGACGUUGUUAGCCGUCAGGGACGUUCAGGGAAAUACUCCGCGAUGCGGUAUCACUUCACACCCACUAGGAUGGCAAAACGUGAAAAAGAGAGAGAAAAUAAAUAACACGUCUUGGCAAAGAUGCAGGGGAAUUUGGGACCCUCGUACACUGUACAAUUGUAAAAUGGUGUACCUCUUUGGAAAACAGUUUAGCAGUUCCUCAGAAUGCUAAACACAGAGUUACUCUAUGACCCAGUAAUUUCCUUUGUGGUUAUAUAACAAAAGUGAAAUGAAAACAUGUGCCCAUACAACUUGUUCGUGAAUACACACGGCGGUCUUACAUGGAAAUAACCCAAAUGUUUCUCAACUGAUGAAUGGAUAAAUGAAAUGUGGUGUAACCAUACAAUGGAAUAUUAUUUGGCCACAAAAGGAAACAAAAUGUCGACACCUGCUACCGCAUGAAUGAAUCUUGGAAACGUUGUGCUUAGUGAAGGAAGCCAGACACAAAAGGUGUGUACUCAGGGUAAAUUCCUAGAAACAGAUUUUUAGAUCUGGGGUGCCCGGCUGGCGCACUCGGUGGAACAGCGACUCUUGAUCUUGGGGUGAUUGGCAAAGAUUGACAGAAGCCAGCUUUGGCAAGGAGCUGCAGAAACAAACACGUUCACACACUGUUGGAAGGAAUGUAGGACGGCAUGAUACUUUCUGAGAGUAAUUCGUCAGCAUCUGUUACAACAAAAAUGUGCUCUGGACUUUUGGCUUGGCAAUUCCGGGCGAGUGGCGAGAAGUAAGAAGCAGAUGAAUGGCAACCAAGCAGCAUCGGAACCCAUGGAUUUAAUUUGCAGCAUCUUGAGGCUGAAGAGGGUUGCAGAGAUGGUCUAAUCUGAUCCCCCAGCUGUGGAGGAUUCCUUCACCGGCACCCCUGACGGACUGCCAGCCAGCUCCGCCUGCCACGUGCAGUGACAAGGAGCAGGUAACCCUGGUUAGCGCUCACCACGAAAGACUUCUGUGGGCUGAGCUGAAGUCUGUCUUGCUGCAAUCUCUGGGCACGCAGCACAUUUGUACCCACUGUCCUCCUGGAUUUAAGGACACCUUCAUGUCUCUAGUCAUCCUUGCGCCCCCCCCCCGCCCCCGCCAGAGUACUUUCCUCUGAUAUCUCUGUGUACUUUGCACAGAAUAUCUCGCAGAUUCUCCAUUCCCUGGAGCUCCACCCACUCCAGCUGGUCAGUGUCCCCCUGCAAAUAAUGGUGAGCAGAACAAACACAGCCAACACUGCUGAUAUGACCCAAUCGGGGCAAAGUGCAGGGCGGGCAUCACUUCCUAUACUCUACACCCUGUGACUCUAUUCACGCAGCACAAAGAAAAACAAGUGCUUUCCGGCAGUUGCAUCAAAUUUGCUCAUUUUAAACUUGCAUUUUAAGCAAAUACCCUGCAAUCGUUCUCACCUAAACAACAUCUGUGUUCCAUAUUUAUAAUUCGUUUAGAUGGACCCGGGUUAAGAAAUAGCACAUUGCCAGUCCCCUAGAAGGCAAGCUUCUUAACGUGCUCUUCCUAUUAUAUGACCCUCCUCCCUGGUUCCAGAGCCGUCGUUACGACUUCCGUGAUCCUCGGGCUCUUCCUGCCCAUAGUUUACUGUGUGCACCAUGUUCAGUUUUUUUGCCUGUUUGGGAACUUCAUAUAAAUGGAAUCAUGCUGUCUGUAUUACUUUAUAACUUGACUCUUUUCCUUAAACCUUGUUUGUGAGCUCCAACUGCGUUGAAAAUGUAGGGGCAGUUUGUUUACCGUCAUUGCUGUAUACUCCAUUGUACGAAUACUUUCCAGUUAAUUUAUCUAUUCUAGUGUUGAUGAACAUUCGGGUCCUUCAUUUGUUUAUUGUAUUAGAAACUCUGCCGUCUCGAAUAUUCUUGUGUCUCCUGGGGCACCUGUGCAAUGUAAUUGGUAAGUAAUUAUUUUAUGUGCUCAGAUCUGGUCUCUCAAUUUCUUUCAGGAUGGAGGAAUCCUGCCUUUUACACCUAAUAAAGGCUUUGAGCACACACUAGUUUU
This is a long non-coding RNA of Ailuropoda melanoleuca (giant panda), 2082 nucleotides long. RefSeq lists it as uncharacterized. Lineage: Eukaryota; Metazoa; Chordata; Mammalia; Carnivora; Ursidae. The transcript is spliced from 5 exons. The record is from RefSeq and is a predicted model, not a curated record.